UGCAAGUCGAGCGAAUGGAUUAAGAGCUUGCUCUUAUGAAGUUAGCGGCGGACGGGUGAGUAACACGUGGGUAACCUGCCCAUAAGACUGGGAUAACUCCGGGAAACCGGGGCUAAUACCGGAUAACAUUUUGAACUGCAUGGUUCGAAAUUGAAAGGCGGCUUCGGCUGUCACUUAUGGAUGGACCCGCGUCGCAUUAGCUAGUUGGUGAGGUAACGGCUCACCAAGGCAACGAUGCGUAGCCGACCUGAGAGGGUGAUCGGCCACACUGGGACUGAGACACGGCCCAGACUCCUACGGGAGGCAGCAGUAGGGAAUCUUCCGCAAUGG
RNAcentral lists this ribosomal RNA (330 nucleotides) under Bacillus sp. (in: firmicutes). Its description in RNAcentral is "bacterial SSU rRNA". It matches the Rfam family "Bacterial small subunit ribosomal RNA", at positions 56 to 374 of the family's 1533-position model. The record is from RNAcentral. Lineage: Bacteria; Bacillati; Bacillota; Bacilli; Caryophanales; Bacillaceae.